Molecule: long non-coding RNA, 1891 nt
Organism: Girardinichthys multiradiatus
Lineage: Eukaryota; Metazoa; Chordata; Actinopteri; Cyprinodontiformes; Goodeidae
Exons: 2
Source: RefSeq, a predicted model, not a curated record
UCAUUUCUGCGGCAGAGCUCAGGCUGUAGAUCAAGUUUCUGCAGAGGAUGGAAGGGUCGGUUCUUGAGAGACUGGACUCAUUACCAUCACCAUCAUGAGAAACCAAGGAAGGUGUGGGGCUCUUUGCAUCAGCAACAUUUGGAGAACUGGAGUUUCUGGAGAGCUCAUUCCGGCAACUUUAUAUCACCAUCAUAGAAGCUUUUUUCAUCCAACAGAUGGGAAGCAAAAUCAACAUGGAACACACCGAUCCAUCUCUAAUGGAACUGUUUAAUAGCUGUCCAGUCAACUACAGAUCAAAUAAAAACAGGACUGAGGGCCUCAGUCAACUCCAUACUUAAACAACUUGGCCCUUUUGUCCUAUUACCAAAGCCUGUUUGCUUUGGAUUACAAUAAAAUAGCCAACUAUCCAUCUUUAACAAUAAGCCCCAUGACCUAUGUCUUGUUUUGUAGGAUGCCUUUGGCUCAAACAAAGAUAAAUACAUUGAAGCUUGGAACUAAUUAUUAAGACACUUUUAGUGUCUCAACCAGGAUUUUUUUUUGGCACUACUGGCCUUUAUAUUUGUUAUUUUUCAAAUGUAAGCAGACAGGAAGUGGGGUAGAGUGAGGAGGAAGACAUGCAGCACAGGCCUUCAGGGUCGGGACUCGAACCAUCAAUCACUGUGUUGGGGACGGAAACCUUCUUAUGGGUGAAGCGCCAUGCCCCAGGAUUAUGUUUUCAUUUAUUCCUUCAACAGGAUACAAAACUCAAACACACAAACCGUUUACACCACAGGAAACAUAUCUAAAAAUAAAAUCACCAAAAACAAUUGAAAAUACUGACUUUAUUAAAUAAAGCUCAACAACACGCAAAACUUAAAAACAUGUUCUUUCUAAUUAGAUGAAAAACCAAAAUUAUUUAAACUCAGUUUAAGAUUAAUGAGUUUACUUCCUGUUGUAACUGUGGUUAAAACCUGAGCUGUGACACACAAACUGUGAGAGCUUAUAUUAAAUGAAACAAACCCAAACUAGAACAGGGGAGGAAGGAAAAUAAUCUGAUGGCUGUUUCCAGUCAGUAGGGUUCAGUUUGGUAAAGGGAAACCUCCAGACAAAGAAUGACUACCAGAACAGAAAAAUCAAAGCAAUCUGCCAGAUAAAAAGAAACCAAACAAAGAAAUGAAAGACAAACAGGAAUAAGUCUGAGGGCAAACUGUAAAAAACCAGUUGAAGCAAAACUGGAACCAUCAUUUUUACCUAAACAGGAAAGAACAAGGUUCCAGUGGGCUGACAUUAAGCAGUCAAGGACUGGAUGAUUGGACAAAAGUGGGAUUGAGAGAUAAAUCCCGAAAAUGAUGAUGGAACUUCCCAUCCUUAUGAAAGUUGUAAAGAUGGGUGAGUGAAGAUAAGCAGCACAUUUCAGUCAGAGUCAGGGAUGGGCUGGAAGUGCAGGGCAGGUAAAGCAGCAGGACGAUCUACUUGACUGGACAUUUUCAUGACCAUAAACUGUCUCUCCACAGAGCAGGUUCUGGUCAACCUUUCCUUCAGGAACCACAGAUGAGCUGAAUGAUGUAGCACUCAAAAGGUCCAGUUUCAAACAUUAUGAAGUUCUGAUAAGACGUUAAAACAGAGGAACGGGACAUGACGUCUAAUGCAGAACUGCUGUUUUAAUGAUCGACAAACAGAUGUGUCAGGUUUAUCAGGUUUAUUUUUGGUUUUCCUUUGAUAAAAAUAAGCUGCUGUCCCCAAACAUGAAGACCAACAUGUUGGGAAUAUUUUAAAUCACCACGGUCGUGUGCUGUUGGUCUUUAUUGUCUCAUUCUGGAAGCAAGUCCGGGUCAUGAAUAACACCACCAGAUCUUCCACUCUUCUACAUCACCUGAACAUGUUCUGAAACAGAAUAAACCUGUUUCUCCAA